GAUGAACGCUAGCGGCAGGCUUAAUACAUGCAAGUCGAGGGGCAGCAUGGUGGUAGCAAUACCACUGAUGGCGACCGGCAAACGGGUGCGGAACACGUACGCAACUUACCCUUAACUGGGGGAGUAGCCCGGGGAAACCCGGAUUAAUACCUCGUAACAUAUUGUGGUGGCAUCACCAUAUUAUUAUAGCUUUAUUGUGGUUAAGGAUGGGCGUGCGGCUGAUUAGGUAGNGGCAGGGUAACGGCCUACCAAGCCUGCGAUCAGUAACUGGUGUGAGAGCACGACCAGUCACACGGGCACUGAGACACGGGCCCGACUCCUACGGGAGGCAGCAGUAAGGAAUAUUGGUCAAUGGACGCAAGUCUGAACCAGCCAUGCCGCGUGGAGGAUGAAGGCCCUCUGGGUUGUAAACUUC
Molecule: ribosomal RNA, 415 nt
Filed under: uncultured bacterium
Lineage: Bacteria
Description: bacterial SSU rRNA
Rfam family: Bacterial small subunit ribosomal RNA
Source: RNAcentral